Molecule: ribosomal RNA, 450 nt
Filed under: uncultured Glomus
Lineage: Eukaryota; Fungi; Glomeromycota; Glomeromycetes; Glomerales; Glomeraceae
Description: SSU rRNA
Rfam family: Eukaryotic small subunit ribosomal RNA
Source: RNAcentral
AGCAGCCGCGGUAAUUCCAGCUCCAAUAGCGUAUAUUAAAGUUGUUGCAGUUAAAAAGCUCGUAGUUGAAUUUCGGGAUUAAUUUAUUGGUCGUGCUAUUGUACGUACUGGUAUUAUUGAUUCCUACCUUCUGACGAACCAUGAUGUCAUUAAUUUGGUGUCAUGGGGAAUCAGGACUGUUACUUUGAAAAAUUAGAGUGUUUAAAGCAGGCUCACGCUUGAAUACAUUAGCAUGGAAUAACGAAAUAGGACGUUUGAUUCUAUUUUGUUGGUUUCUAGGAUCGACGUAAUGAUUAAUAGGGAUAGUUGGGGGCAUUAGUAUUCAAUUGUCAGAGGUGAAAUUCUUGGAUUUAUUGAAGACUAACUACUGCGAAAGCAUUUGCCAAGGAUGUUUUCAUUAAUCAAGAACGAAAGUUAGGGGAUCGAAGACGAUCAGAUACCGUCGUAGUC